RNAcentral lists this transfer RNA (72 nucleotides) under Bos taurus (domestic cattle). It matches the Rfam family "tRNA". Rfam says of the family: Transfer RNA (tRNA) molecules are approximately 80 nucleotides in length. Their secondary structure includes four short double-helical elements and three loops (D, anti-codon, and T loops). The record is from Rfam by way of RNAcentral. Lineage: Eukaryota; Metazoa; Chordata; Mammalia; Artiodactyla; Bovidae. RNAcentral also lists the same sequence under 1 other name.
UCCCUGGUAGCUCAGCUGGUAAAGAAUCUGACUAGAAUCCAGGAGACCUGGGUUUGAUCCCUGGCUUGGGAA